CCUACGGGAGGCAGCAGUGAGGAAUAUUGGUCAAUGGACGGAAGUCUGCACCAGCCAUGCCGCGUGCAGGAAGACGGCUCUAUGAGUUGUAAACUGCUUUUGUACAAGGGUAAACCUGAAUACGUGUAUUCAGCUGAAAGUACUGUACGAAUAAGGAUCGGCUAACUCCGUGCCAGCAGCCGCGGUAAUACGGAGGAUCCAAGCGUUAUCCGGAUUUAUUGUGUUUAAAGGGUGCGUAGGCGGAUUGAUAAGUUAGAGGUGAAAUGUCCGAGCUUAACUCGGGAACUGCCUCUAAUACUGUUGAUCUAGAGAGUAGAUGCGGUAGGCGGAAGGUAUGGUGUAGCGGUGAAAUGCUUAGAGAUCAUACAGAACACCGAGUGCGAAGGCAGCUUACCAAUCUAUAUCGGACGUUGAGGCACGAAAGCGUGGGGAGCAAACAGGAUUAGAUACCCGGGUAGUC
Molecule: ribosomal RNA, 460 nt
Filed under: uncultured bacterium
Lineage: Bacteria
Description: partial 16S ribosomal RNA
Rfam family: Bacterial small subunit ribosomal RNA
Source: RNAcentral